UAAAAAGUCUGUUAUGCCUUUUUUUGUGUGUUUUACAAAACCGUAUAACCGACUUUUACUU
This 61-nucleotide microRNA precursor is filed under the name Drosophila simulans. RNAcentral describes it as "microRNA dsi-mir-2498a precursor". Lineage: Eukaryota; Metazoa; Arthropoda; Insecta; Diptera; Drosophilidae. The record is from miRBase by way of RNAcentral.